This 520-nucleotide unclassified non-coding RNA is filed under the name uncultured Entrophospora. Its description in RNAcentral is "SSU rRNA". It matches the Rfam family "Eukaryotic small subunit ribosomal RNA", at positions 569 to 1086 of the family's 1831-position model. The record is from RNAcentral. Lineage: Eukaryota; Fungi; Glomeromycota; Glomeromycetes; Entrophosporales; Entrophosporaceae.
AGCAGCCGCGGUAAUUCCAGCUCCAAUAGCGUAUAUUAAAGUUGUUGCAGUUAAAAGCUCGUAGUUGAAUUUCGGGAUUGACACAUCGGUCGUGCCUUAAGGGGUAUGAACUGGUGUAGUCAAUUUCUCACCUUCUGGAGAACCGCGAUGCCCUUAAUUGGGUGUCGCGGGGAACCAGGACCUUUACUUUAGAAAAAUUGAGUGUUUAAAGCAGGCAUUUUGCUUGAAUACAUUAGCAUGGAAUAAUAAAAUAGGACGGCAUGAUUCUAUUUUGUUGGUUUCUAGGAUCACCGUAAUGAUUAAUAGGGAUAGUUGGGGGCAUUAGUAUUCAAUUGUCAGAGGUGAAAUUCUUGGAUUUAUUGAAGACUAACUACUGCGAAAGCAUUUGCCAAGGAUGUUUUCAUUAAUCAAGAACGAAAGUUAGGGAUACGAAGACGAUCAGAUACCGUGUAGUCUUAACCAUAAACUAUGACCGACUAGGAAUCAGACGAUGUUAAUUUUUAAUGUACUCGUUGGCUAC